This 666-nucleotide ribosomal RNA is filed under the name Sigalphus gyrodontus. Its description in RNAcentral is "eukaryotic LSU rRNA". It matches the Rfam family "Eukaryotic large subunit ribosomal RNA", at positions 386 to 794 of the family's 3401-position model. Lineage: Eukaryota; Metazoa; Arthropoda; Insecta; Hymenoptera; Braconidae. The record is from RNAcentral.
CCUGAGAAACCUAAAAGUUCGAAAGAGGAGAUUCAACGUCAACAUGUACAGUAUUUACGUGAGUAGUGAUGUGAAUUGUCGAUAAAGUUUCUGACUUCUUCGACGCCCACACAUUUUCAUGUCUUUUUAUUGCUGUACUACUGUCGGCGUGCACUUCUCCUCUAGUAGGACGUCCCGACCUGUUAAGCCUCAGCCUACGGCCCAGAUGGUAGCCUUCGAUACAUUCAUUUGUAUUGGAGACCUCUGGUGUUUCCCGGUCUGAGUGCCUGACAGUAUUGAAGCAAACGAUGGUAUUGUGCCGCAUCUUUGAAUGCGUCUAGCCUGUCGCAAGCUUGAUUAAACUGUCAACACGUAGGCUAUGUUUCUAUGUUUGCGGUUUUUUCAGCUGUUAGCCGACAGUGUUCUUAGACUGGCCAGCAUUACCUGUCAGGGACGCUAUUGCUUUGGGUACUUUCAGGACCCGUCUUGAAACACGGACCAAGGAGUCUAACAUGUACGCGAGUCAUUGGGUAUAUAUUUUCUUCGGAAUUUAUAUAAAACAAACCUAAAGGCGAAAUGAAAGUGAAAGCAAGGCCUUGUGCCACCAAGGGAAGAUGGGUUAACUUUUACAAUUUACCCCGCAUUCCCGGGGCGUCUCAUUCUCAUUCACCGCGAGAGGAGGCGCAC